Molecule: long non-coding RNA, 810 nt
Filed under: Pan troglodytes (chimpanzee)
Lineage: Eukaryota; Metazoa; Chordata; Mammalia; Primates; Hominidae
Description: lncRNA (ENSPTRG00000054395.1)
Source: RNAcentral
CAGGGGGAGGAGGCACCCCCAGCGAGGCGGGGUCUCAGAGCCAGCCCCUCUUCCCCCACUGGCCCUUAGGACCCCCAUCGCAGUGAGGGGAGGCACCCCCAGCGAGGCGGGGUCUCAGAGCCAGCCCCUCUUCCCCCACUGGCCUUUAGGACCCCCGUCGCAGGGGGAGGAGGCACCCCCCACGAGGCGGGGACUGAGAGCCAGCCCCUCUAAGCCUUCUGGCUCUUAGGACCCCCAUCACGGGGGGGGAGGCACCCCCGCGAGGGGGGUACAGAGAGCCAGCCCCUCUUCUGCUCCUGGCUCUUAGGACCCCCAUCACGGGGGGGGAGGCACCCCCCGCGAGGCGGGUACAGAGAGCCAGCCCCUCUUCCCCCACUGGCCCUUAGGAACCCCAUCGCAGGGGGGGGGAGGCACCCCCCGCGAGGCGGGGUCUCAGAGCCAGCCCCUCUUCCCCCACUGGCCCUUAGGACUCCCAUCGUAGGGGAGCGAGGCACCCCCCGUGAGGCGGGUUCUCAGAGCCAGCCCCUCUUCCCCCACUGGCCCUUAGGACUCCCAUCGGAGGGGGGGGGAGGCACCCCCAGCGAGGCGGGGUCUCAGAGCCAGCCCCUCUUCCCCCACUGUCUCUUAGGACCCCCAUCGCAGUGGGGGGAGGCUCCCCCAGCGAGGCGGGGUCUCAGAGCCAGCCCCUCUUCCCCCGCUGGCUCUGAGGAUCCUCCGUGGACUCACAGCCUCUUUACCAUAUUGUGAGUAAUAUCAUCUCCCCCUCUGGAGAUUACGAACUCUUUCACAGACGGGUGUACACCCUCGGUG